AUGCUGUCCUGUCCCUUUUUAGGGGGAAAACUUGAGCUCUGCAUUGGAAGGUCAAGUUCCUGGUGGAGAACAUGGCAGGAGGAGGAGGAAGCUCAGCUCAGUGGAUGCAGAGUGGGAGGCUUCCUAUUACUGAUGUGUAAAGUGGGAAAACAGCAACUCUACGUUGAAACUUAACAAGAUAAAAAGGAAAACAGAAGAUAAUAAAUACAAGGUAAAAAAGUCUUUCA
Molecule: long non-coding RNA, 227 nt
Filed under: Zonotrichia albicollis (white-throated sparrow)
Lineage: Eukaryota; Metazoa; Chordata; Aves; Passeriformes; Passerellidae
Description: lncRNA (ENSZALG00000006847.1)
Source: RNAcentral